GGUCAAAGUAAUAAGAGUCUAUGGUGAAUGCCUACGAGCUUUAAGGCUAAGAAGGUCGUGGUAAC
Molecule: ribosomal RNA, 65 nt
Filed under: Borreliella bissettiae
Lineage: Bacteria; Pseudomonadati; Spirochaetota; Spirochaetia; Spirochaetales; Borreliaceae
Description: Borreliella bissettii partial 23S ribosomal RNA
Source: RNAcentral